CCUCUUGGGCUUGUUGGCAUGAAGAUUGUCUAGUGUGGAUGAUGGUGCGCCUUCUUACUUUCAGUGGUCCAUUUGUGUCAACCUCCAAGAUUGCUUGGCGCUUCAUCCUUGAAGGAAUUGAGCUUCGAAUAUCGCCUUUUUCUGCUAGCCUGUCGAGCUUUUCUUCCUUUAACGUUGUCUCCCUAUUUCUAAAAAACUUCAUGUUGUCUUCAAGUC
This 216-nucleotide long non-coding RNA is filed under the name Malus domestica (apple). RNAcentral's name for it is "long non-coding RNA (MDOM_LNC010404)". Lineage: Eukaryota; Viridiplantae; Streptophyta; Magnoliopsida; Rosales; Rosaceae. The record is from RNAcentral.